This 497-nucleotide ribosomal RNA is filed under the name uncultured bacterium. RNAcentral describes it as "partial 16S ribosomal RNA". It matches the Rfam family "Bacterial small subunit ribosomal RNA", at positions 28 to 507 of the family's 1533-position model. The record is from RNAcentral.
GACGAACGCUGGCGGCGUGCCUAAUACAUGCAAGUCGAACGCUGAAGGGAGGAUCUUGCUCUUCUUGGAUGAGUUGCGAACGGGUGAGUAACGCGUAGGUAACCUGCCUUGUAGCGGGGGAUAACUAUUGGAAACGAUAGCUAAUACCGCAUAACAAUGGGUGACACAUGUCAUUUAUUUGAACGGGCCAAUUGCUGCACUACAGGAUGGACCUGCGUUGUAUUAGCUAGUAGGUGAGGUAAUGGCUCACCUAGGCGACGCUACAUAGCCGACCUGAGAGGGUGAACGGCCACACUGGGACUGGGAAAAGGCCCAGACUCCUUCGGGGGGCAGCAGGAGGGAAUCUUCGGCAAUGGGGGCAACCCUGACCGAGCAACGCCGCGUGAGUGGAGAAGGGUUUCGGAUCGUAAAGGUCGGUUGUGAGUCAAGAACGGGUGUGAGAGUGGAAAGUUCACACUGUGACGGUAGCUUACCAGAAAGGGACGGCUAACUACGUG